This 741-nucleotide ribosomal RNA is filed under the name uncultured Bacteroidales bacterium. Its description in RNAcentral is "bacterial SSU rRNA". It matches the Rfam family "Bacterial small subunit ribosomal RNA", at positions 53 to 784 of the family's 1533-position model. The record is from RNAcentral. Lineage: Bacteria; Pseudomonadati; Bacteroidota; Bacteroidia; Bacteroidales.
ACAUGCAAGUCGAGGGGCAGCAUGGUCUUAGCUUGCUAAGGCCGAUGGCGACCGGCGCACGGGUGAGUAACACGUAUCCAACCUGCCGUCUACUCUUGGACAGCCUUCUGAAAGGAAGAUUAAUACAAGAUGGCAUCAUGAGUCCGCAUGUUCACAUGAUUAAAGGUAUUCCGGUAGACGAUGGGGAUGCGUUCCAUUAGAUAGUAGGCGGGGUAACGGCCCACCUAGUCUUCGAUGGAUAGGGGUUCUGAGAGGAAGGUCCCCCACAUUGGAACUGAGACACGGUCCAAACUCCUACGGGAGGCAGCAGUGAGGAAUAUUGGUCAAUGGGCGAGAGCCUGAACCAGCCAAGUAGCGUGAAGGAUGACUGCCCUAUGGGUUGUAAACUUCUUUUAUAAAGGAAUAAAGUCGGGUAUGGAUACCCGUUUGCAUGUACUUUAUGAAUAAGGAUCGGCUAACUCCGUGCCAGCAGCCGCGGUAAUACGGAGGAUCCGAGCGUUAUCCGGAUUUAUUGGGUUUAAAGGGAGCGUAGAUGGAUGUUUAAGUCAGUUGUGAAAGUUUGCGGCUCAACCGUAAAAUUGCAGUUGAUACUGGAUAUCUUGAGUGCAGUUGAGGCAGGCGGAAUUCGUGGUGUAGCGGUGAAAUGCUUAGAUAUCACGAAGAACUCCGAUUGCGAAGGCAGCCUGCUAAGCUGCAACUGACAUUGAGGCUCGAAAGUGUGGUAUCAAACAGGAUUAGAUA